GACGAACGCUGGCGGCGUGCUUAACACAUGCAAGUCGAACGGAAAGGCCCUGCUUUUGUGGGGUGCUCGAGUGGCGAACGGGUGAGUAACACGUGAGUAACCUGCCCUUGACUUUGGGAUAACUUCAGGAAACUGGGGCUAAUACCCGAUAGGAGCUCCUGCUGCAUGGUGGGGGUUGGAAAGUUUCGGCGGUUGGGGAUGGACUCGCGGGUUAUCAGCUUGUUGGUGGGGUAGGGGCUUACCAAGGCUUUGACGGGUAGCCGGCCUGGGAGGGUGACCGGCGUCAUUGGGACUGAGAGACGGCCCAGACGCCUAUGGGAGGCAGCAGUGGGGAACAUUGCAGAAUGGGCGGAAGCCUGAUGCAGCGACGCCGCGUGCGGGAUGCCGUCCUUUGGGUUGUAAACCGCUUUGGCCUGUGAUGAAGCGUGAGUGACGGUAAUGGGUAAAGAAGCACCGGCUAACUACGUG
Molecule: ribosomal RNA, 468 nt
Filed under: uncultured bacterium
Lineage: Bacteria
Description: partial 16S ribosomal RNA
Rfam family: Bacterial small subunit ribosomal RNA
Source: RNAcentral